Non-coding RNA from Zootermopsis nevadensis, 4535 nucleotides. The record is from RefSeq and is a predicted model, not a curated record. NCBI's taxonomy places the organism in Eukaryota, Metazoa, Arthropoda, Insecta, Blattodea, Termopsidae.
UGUUUCAAAACCUCGAUCAAAGCCUCGGACUGACGGACCUAACAGAGGACCGAAUGGAAGAGGAGAAUUGAGGAGGCCAUGGACCGGAGAGCCAUGGAAGAAGAUGAAGAUGAUGGGAAGAGAAAAGAUUGUUGCAUGUUAUUACAUAACAUGGAUAAGAAGACAGACAGGUUACUGGAUUCCUUCAUACGUGACAUUGGCAGCCCUGAUAUAGAGGUGGCAAUCGAAGCUGCCAAACAGCUACGGACAACUGCGGCAAUGAAAUUGGAAGGAAAGCAUACCAACUGGUAUUGCGGUGUGUCGAGCAACUCCGACUGCUGACCUCAAACCAAUGUGAGGGCACUCCCAGAGUAGACAUUGCAAGUGAAUUCUGAGCCCUUUUUGAGUUGCUGAUGUCGUUUUAUAGCAAUAGAACCCUCUCUGGUCAAGUUUCAAAAGAUGCGUCACGUCAUCCGAUUGAGCAGCUGAUCAAUCUAGUGGUAGAUGGGCAUAUGGAAGAGUUAGAGAGUGGAGGAUCAUAUGUUGAUAUUAUCUACAGAUUGAUAGAGCGCAUUAUUGAGCGUUCUGAUCACACAACUAUCACAUGGUAAACCAAUGUUGAUGACGCCUCAACUGCAAGAGUGUGUUGUGAUCUGCCCAAAGAGUUUGAUAAGUGAUGCUCAACGCUUUGUAUCCUCUUUGAUUCGUGCCGCUCAGGGCGUGAGAUUCGUCAUUCCGCAACCAUAUUUGCGAGUUGCCCUUACUCUGACUUUUCACAUACACUGGAAAUCUGAAAUAUGUGUUUUAUUACAGCUUAAUGCUUGUUCUCCAAAAGUUGGAAUUGAUAACGUAGUUCAGCAGAAGAGCCAUGAUGUUACAAAUGAACGCCCGUCGUCAUUUGUCGAAGCAUUGAAGGAAGUAAUUUCACGCACAGAACCCCAGUUGUUAAUGUGCAUCGUUGCAGACGGUCGCUUAUGCUGCAAUCAAGAAAAAGUGCUGUGUGGACGGAGGUGAGUUGUGUGCUCCUUUGCUACAGGCAUGUUUGUGGAGGUUGUGUUCAUGCUCGGCAGGAUUUCAUUUGGGAGCUUAUUUUCUUUCAUUUGGGCAGAACAACUGAAAAUCUCGUAAAACGGUAAUAUCCGUCAUACCACACGGGGGGUGCAGCUUGUAUGUAUUCCUGAUCACGUGGCUGUCUGUGGUUUGAUAUAUCACAAAUGGCUGAGUAUUGGAAGUAAUUUUAUGAGCAGAAUAGCUGCAUGUAGGCCAGAACUUAUAUAUAUAUAUAUAUAUAUAUAUAUAAUCGUUUCUUUCAGUGGCCAUUUCUCACACAAGUCUCUCCUGAUUCACUACUAGAAUAAGAUGCAUGCUAGGUGACUAGCAUUAUCUGCAGUCAGAGACUUUCUCACACAUACAUAACCUUGUAUCCUUGCAGCGAAUCUCAGUCUUUCCUAGAAACAAACAUUAUAGAAAUAAAUUAAAAAUCUAUAAUUUCUCUAUUACACAGCAUGAUUUACAAUAAGGUGUGAGUGAUGGUAGUAUUAUUCCCGUGUGGAGGCGGGUUAGAAUACCUCCACCGUAGCCCUGCGAGUCGUAGAAGGCGAUGAAAAGGGAACCCAGUGCCUGGGGGUAUUACUGGGCCACCCUGUCUCUGGGGGACAUAAAUACAGAGACCUGGUACUCCUGUUGCAAAAGAAAGAAGUGAAAUGUAGGUGGUGCAUCAUGGGAAGAGGUGUCAGUCUUACAUGCAGCACCCACUUGGUGUUUCCAAGUGUCUAGCAUUCAGAAAUCAGAGGUUUUACUAAAAUUCACUGACACAUUCCAAUUCUGGUUGCAAUCCGGACAACAAUAACACACGCUUCGCAUAAAGACAUUAAAAUGAGAAGAGAAUAUAUGAUUUAGGAUCUUGCAAAAACAACAUUAGAUCUUCAUUAUAUAAAGCUAGGAAUUAGGCAAACUUACGAAGAAACUAUACUCUCAGUAAACUUGAAAGCAUGCAGGAAUUGAAAAACUUUAUACAUUCUAUAAAACUGUUUGCAUAAACUUACGAAACCCUCCAACACGUGACAUGAAGCAAACAAGUUUCAUAACUAAACAGAGAUAAUUAAGUGACUUGGCUAAAUGUACUACAAUGGUUAAAACUUCAUUCCACCUUUUCUUUACUUUUGUCAAGUUUUCUAGUUUCAUUCUGACAUCAGUGCCAAGUGGAAGAAAGAAACAUUUGGAAUUUUCCUUCAGAAUGGUAAAAAAAGACCAAACAUGCAACUCACCACUCAAAUAGGAUGCCAUAUUAUCGCUCAGCUCCUGCCCUGGUGUGUGGGCAGAGACAGCCGAGAAAUACUGGCUGAAUGUCUUGUUCAGUGAAGCCACAAAGGCUCCAUACGAAUUCCCUCCUCUGGGGGUUGUGUCGUGGUAGACGUCGAAGCCCACCACCAUCAAUCCCUGAAACAAACAUACAGAGAAUCCUCCACAUUAUACACCCUCUGGUUCUGAAUACUAGACACUUGGCAACACCAAGUGGGUGCUGCACGUAAGACUGACUCUUGGGGUUUCUCUUUUCUACCAUCUCUUCCCAUGAUGCACCACCCAUAUUUAACUUCUUUCUUUCGCAACAACUGAUUUUUACAGAGUAAGGUCGUCAGCCUUACGUCCAGCCACCAACCUGGAGGAUCAGUUCUUUGUAUUUAUUUAUCCUGGAGACAGGGUGGCCCAGUAAUACCCCCCAGGCACCGAUCUACGAUAUGGGAUGGUCAGCUUUACUUACCCUCCAAAGGAAUUUGCAGUUUUUAUCACCAUUAAAAAUCCAUCGACCUUGGCCGGGUUUGAACCCGCGAACCCUGGGUCCAGUGGUGAGCACGCUACCCACUUGUCCACCGAAGGCGACCAAGAUUGCUUAGUUCUUAAUUAACUUUCAUUAUCUCAAUAUUCACUUUAAAAAAGAAUAAAAUGUCCUACCCACAUUUUUUUUUAAACUUAGUGCCAUACUGUACUCUGAUUUUAAGUUAAGGGAUGUACUUCAGAUUAUAUAUAGCAAUCAUUUUUGGAUAAUAUGAGUACACGUUACGAGCAUUUUUUAGAAUUACACAAACUGUCAUCAUAGUUUUAAACAAUUUAUUUCAUGAAUGGAAUAGCAGAUCAUCUGCUGUUAUACUGUCUAUGGCAGCUUUUUAAUAUUUUUUUAGGUAGGGGGGGUUACCACAGGCCCAAUUAUAUUAUCAACAGCAUUUAACUGGCACAAGGCAGGGGAAGAAAUUAAGCCCCUACGAAAUGCAAAUAACCAGCCUACAUAAUGUAGAUGAAUGGUAAAACUGUUUUCUUACACUGAUUGGAAUUUGAAUAGUCGAAGGAGCACCUCCAAUUUUACACCAAAGCUGAGCUGCCACUUUCUCAGCAAUGGAUUUCACAUGCAUGGGUUUGAAGCUGCCUUUCACAAUCACUUGUGUUGGCACUGAUGAAGAAAGCAAUGAUUAUGUGUGUUCUGAUCUACAUGCAGCUAUUCUGCUCACAAAGUUACUUCAAACACUUGGUCGUUUGUGACAUCUCACAGCCACAGCCAGUCAUGUUAUCAGGAAUACAUAAACUUGCAGCCACAUAGUUUGACGGAGAUUACCGUUUUAGGAGAUUUUCAGUUGUUUCAGGGAUUGAUGGUGGUGGGCUUCGACGUCUACCACGACACAACCCCCAGAGGAGGGAAUUCAUAUGGAGCCUUUGUGGCUUCACUGAACAGCACAUUUAGCCAAUAUUUCUCGGCUGUCUCUGCCCACACACCAGGGCAGGAGCUGAGCGAUAAUAUGGCAUCCCAUUUAAGUAGUGAGUUGCAUGUUUGGUCUUUUUUUACCAUUCUGAAGGAAAAUUCCAAAUGUUUCUUUCUUCCACUUGGCACUGAUGUCAGAAUGAAACUAGAAAACUUGACAAAAGUAAAGAAAAGGUGGAAUGAAGUUUUAACCAUUGUAGUACAUUUAGCCAAGUCACUUAAUUAUCUCUGUUUAGUUAUGAAACUUGUUUGCUUCAUGUCACGUGUUGGAGGGUUUCGUAAGUUUAUGCAAACAGUUUUAUAGAAUGUAUAAAGUUUUUCAAUUCCUGCAUGCUUUCAAGUUUACUGAGAGUAUAGUUUCUUCGUAAGUUUGCCUAAUUCCUAGCUUUAUAUAAUGAAGAUCUAAUGUUGUUUUUGCAAGAUCCUAAAUCAUAUAUUCUCUUCUCAUUUUAAUGUCUUUAUACGAAGCGUGUGUUAUUGUUGUCCGUAUUGCAACCAGAAUUGGAAUGUGUCAGUGAAUUUUAUUAUAGUGAAAAUCUGAUAAACGAUUUUUGAUUUCUUACAUACAGAUUGAUAGACAGACAUGACAGGCAUCUAUGAAAGAUUGGCAAUAGUUGGUGUUAUAUAUUUGCUCAAUUUACGGAGAUUACCGUUUUACGAGAUUUUCAGUUCUGCCCAUAUCAAAACGUAAAGCCUAGAAAAUCUGCUCCCAAAUAAAAUCCUGCCAAGUGUAAACACGUCCCGCACCGUAGCCGCGCGGACUGAGGCAUCAUGCUUCGUACCGCGAUACAGAAUGCGCGCUGGU